This 440-nucleotide ribosomal RNA is filed under the name uncultured bacterium. Its description in RNAcentral is "partial 16S ribosomal RNA". It matches the Rfam family "Bacterial small subunit ribosomal RNA", at positions 338 to 795 of the family's 1533-position model. The record is from RNAcentral.
CCUACGGGCGGCAGCAGUGGGGAAUAUUGCACAAUGGGGGAAACCCUGAUGCAGCGACGCCGCGUGAGUGAAGAAGUAAUUCGUUAUGUAAAGCUCUAUCAGCAGGGAAGAAAAUGACGGUACCUGAGUAAGAAGCCCCGGCUAACUACGUGCCAGCAGCCGCGGUAAUACGUAGGGGGCAAGCGUUAUCCGGAUUUACUGGGGGGAAAGGGAGCGUAGACGGCAGUGCAAGUCUGGAGUGAAAGGCGGGGGCUCAACCCCCGGACUGCUCUGGAAACUGUACGGCUGGAGUGCAGGAGAGGUAAGUGGAAUUCCUGGUGUAGCGGUGAAAUGCGUAGAUAUUAGGAGGAACACCAGUGGCGAAGGCGGCUUACUGGACUGUAACUGACGUUGAGGCUCGAAAGCGUGGGGAGCAAACAGGAUUAGAUACCCCAGUAGUC